CACGUAGGGGGGGAGCGUUAUCCGGAAUCAUUGGGCGUAAAGGGUGCGUAGGCGGCCUUUUAAGCGCGGGGUCUAAGGCGGUGGCCCAACCACCGUUCGCCCCGCGAACUGGAGGGCUAGAGUGUCGGAGAGGGAAGCGGAAUUCCUAGUGUAGCGGUGAAAUGCGUAGAUAUUAGGAGGAACAUCAGUGGCGAAGGCGGCUUCCUGGACGAAGACUGACGCUGAGGCACGAAAGCGUGGGGAGCGAACAGG
Molecule: ribosomal RNA, 252 nt
Filed under: uncultured bacterium
Lineage: Bacteria
Description: partial 16S ribosomal RNA
Rfam family: Bacterial small subunit ribosomal RNA
Source: RNAcentral